RNAcentral lists this ribosomal RNA (1556 nucleotides) under Escherichia coli. RNAcentral's name for it is "bacterial SSU rRNA". It matches the Rfam family "Bacterial small subunit ribosomal RNA". The record is from RNAcentral. Lineage: Bacteria; Pseudomonadati; Pseudomonadota; Gammaproteobacteria; Enterobacterales; Enterobacteriaceae.
UUAAAUUGAAGAGUUUGAUCAUGGCUCAGAUUGAACGCUGGCGGCAGGCCUAACACAUGCAAGUCGAACGGUAACAGGAAGCAGCUUGCUGCUUUGCUGACGAGUGGCGGACGGGUGAGUAAUGUCUGGGAAACUGCCUGAUGGAGGGGGAUAACUACUGGAAACGGUAGCUAAUACCGCAUAACGUCGCAAGACCAAAGAGGGGGACCUUCGGGCCUCUUGCCAUCGGAUGUGCCCAGAUGGGAUUAGCUAGUAGGUGGGGUAAAGGCUCACCUAGGCGACGAUCCCUAGCUGGUCUGAGAGGAUGACCAGCCACACUGGAACUGAGACACGGUCCAGACUCCUACGGGAGGCAGCAGUGGGGAAUAUUGCACAAUGGGCGCAAGCCUGAUGCAGCCAUGCCGCGUGUAUGAAGAAGGCCUUCGGGUUGUAAAGUACUUUCAGCGGGGAGGAAGGGAGUAAAGUUAAUACCUUUGCUCAUUGACGUUACCCGCAGAAGAAGCACCGGCUAACUCCGUGCCAGCAGCCGCGGUAAUACGGAGGGUGCAAGCGUUAAUCGGAAUUACUGGGCGUAAAGCGCACGCAGGCGGUUUGUUAAGUCAGAUGUGAAAUCCCCGGGCUCAACCUGGGAACUGCAUCUGAUACUGGCAAGCUUGAGUCUCGUAGAGGGGGGUAGAAUUCCAGGUGUAGCGGUGAAAUGCGUAGAGAUCUGGAGGAAUACCGGUGGCGAAGGCGGCCCCCUGGACGAAGACUGACGCUCAGGUGCGAAAGCGUGGGGAGCAAACAGGAUUAGAUACCCUGGUAGUCCACGCCGUAAACGAUGUCGACUUGGAGGUUGUGCCCUUGAGGCGUGGCUUCCGGAGCUAACGCGUUAAGUCGACCGCCUGGGGAGUACGGCCGCAAGGUUAAAACUCAAAUGAAUUGACGGGGGCCCGCACAAGCGGUGGAGCAUGUGGUUUAAUUCGAUGCAACGCGAAGAACCUUACCUGGUCUUGACAUCCACAGAACCUUGUAGAGAUACGAGGGUGCCUUCGGGAACUGUGAGACAGGUGCUGCAUGGCUGUCGUCAGCUCGUGUUGUGAAAUGUUGGGUUAAGUCCCGCAACGAGCGCAACCCUUAUCCUUUGUUGCCAGCGGUCCGGCCGGGAACUCAAAGGAGACUGCCAGUGAUAAACUGGAGGAAGGUGGGGAUGACGUCAAGUCAUCAUGGCCCUUACGACCAGGGCUACACACGUGCUACAAUGGCGCAUACAAAGAGAAGCGACCUCGCGAGAGCAAGCGGACCUCAUAAAGUGCGUCGUAGUCCGGAUUGGAGUCUGCAACUCGACUCCAUGAAGUCGGAAUCGCUAGUAAUCGUGGAUCAGAAUGCCACGGUGAAUACGUUCCCGGGCCUUGUACACACCGCCCGUCACACCAUGGGAGUGGGUUGCAAAAGAAGUAGGUAGCUUAACCUUCGGGAGGGCGCUUACCACUUUGUGAUUCAUGACUGGGGUGAAGUCGUAACAAGGUAACCGUAGGGGAACCUGCGGUUGGAUCACCUCCUUACCUUAAAGAAGC